CCUACGGGGGCAGCAGUGGGGAAUAUUGGACAAUGGGCGAAAGCCUGAUCCAGCCAUGCCGCGUGUGUGAAGAAGGCCUUCGGGUUGUAAAGCACUUUCAGUGGGGAAGAAAGCCUUGGGGCUAAUACCCUCGAGGAAGGACAUCACCCACAGAAGAAGCACCGGCUAACUCCGUGCCAGCAGCCGCGGUAAUACGGAGGGUGCGAGCGUUAAUCGGAAUUACUGGGCGUAAAGCGCGCGUAGGCGGUCUGAUAAGCCGGUUGUGAAAGCCCCGGGCUCAACCUGGGAACGGCAUCCGGAACUGUCAGGCUAGAGUGCAGGAGAGGAAGGUAGAAUUCCCGGUGUAGCGGUGAAAUGCGUAGAGAUCGGGAGGAAUACCAGUGGCGAAGGCGGCCUUCUGGACUGACUCUGACGCUGAGGUGCGAAAGCGUGGGUAGCAAACAGGAUUAGAUACCCUGGUAGUC
Molecule: ribosomal RNA, 464 nt
Filed under: Vreelandella stevensii
Lineage: Bacteria; Pseudomonadati; Pseudomonadota; Gammaproteobacteria; Oceanospirillales; Halomonadaceae
Description: partial 16S ribosomal RNA
Rfam family: Bacterial small subunit ribosomal RNA
Source: RNAcentral